UACGUAGGUGGCAAGCGUUAUCCGGAAUUAUUGGGCGUAAAGCGCGCGCAGGUGGUUUCUUAAGUCUGAUGUGAAAGCCCACGGCUCAACCGUGGAGGGUCAUUGGAAACUGGGAGACUUGAGUGCAGAAGAGGAAAGUGGAAUUCCAUGUGUAGCGGUGAAAUGCGUAGAGAUAUGGAGGAACACCAGUGGCGAAGGCGGCUUCCUGGUCUGUAACUGACACUGAGGCGCGAAAGCGUGGGGAGCAAACAGGAUUAGAUA
This 261-nucleotide ribosomal RNA is filed under the name uncultured prokaryote. Its description in RNAcentral is "partial 16S ribosomal RNA". It matches the Rfam family "Bacterial small subunit ribosomal RNA", at positions 524 to 784 of the family's 1533-position model. The record is from RNAcentral.